RNAcentral lists this long non-coding RNA (1801 nucleotides) under Ixodes scapularis (black-legged tick). RNAcentral describes it as "uncharacterized LOC121838002". The record is from RNAcentral. Lineage: Eukaryota; Metazoa; Arthropoda; Arachnida; Ixodida; Ixodidae.
GUUCCAGCGGUCUUUCUUGUAUCAUACAUUGUCGUGUUAUGUGCCGCGGUAUUGCCGAGUGGAGUUGGUCGUGAUAUUCAAUGCUUGAGAACGGGCGUCGGCAGUGAAGUCCACAGCGCAUUCAGCGCAUUCAUGCAAGCCAGCAACAGGCCCCGUCUCGCCACAUGGAGGCCCGUGGGACGCUUGUUCGGAAAGUAAAAGGUGUCCGAUGCUUGCGGCUGAUGGCUUCUACCUACGUGCAUCAAACAGCGGGCCUGCACCUUCGCCGAGACAGCAGUAAUACAGUUCUGGGUAACUGCAGCGACUGGGUCACCGAUGCCGUUCCACUUCCUGCGUUGCACUCCGCAUGGGUCAAAGGGCCAGCGCAUGCCUUUUAUGCGUUGUCGCCAGCCAUAAUGUGCAGGUCGGACAUGAGGCAAUAAAAGCUUGGCCCACCAACCACAUGGCUCCUACCGCCCUGUCAACGUAGAGGUGAGUUGGUGGGGUCUGCUGAGUGCUUCUGGCGUAGCAGCUCGGCAGUGGUGAGUUACUAGAGCGCAAAAUGCAAUACCGCACUUUACUCUGAAUGCUGCGAGCCAUUGGAGCCAAUCCAGUGCCGAAGGUGUGUCACGUGGCCUGUCCGUUGGGCGCAACGGCACGUUGAGCACAGUGUCAUCUGGCAGCGUCAAAGUGUCAGAGAGCUUUCUGGACAAGCGGCGAUAAUCAAGAAUGAAACGUGCCCUACAGCUAGCUAGCUUCGAGAGUGUUACACAUCGCAGUGUCAAACAAAACGGCAAUAUCAGUCAACAAGACCGAGUACCGCUUUACGACGAGAGUGAGCCCGCCUCGCACCCAUCCAAAACAGCGUGAAACUGGCAAAAAAUAUUCUAACCCUAAAAUUAACUUGGGCUGUUCGUACAGAAGGAGCACGCUUCAGAGAAAGAGUCGUGUGGGCAUCCUUGUGUUCCGCAAGCCGUGCCUAGCCUUCAAAUUUCUUGCGUUUGCUCUGAUCAAGCUUUUGUGCACAGUUUUUUCCAGUGUAUCGUUUAACAAAAAGUUACAGCUGUUUUGUACUGAGCAGGUUACAGGAACUAAUGCCAUCUGUAAAUAUCUCUUACAGCCGUGCUGUUUGAAGUCAUCACAGAUAUAAACUACACGUUGCAGCAACUCUCAAUCUCAUUCCUGCCCGUCAUGUCGAACAGCGUAGCGCUAAUUUCAGUUUGAGGUCUGCACUCUUACUACAAUGCAGAUGGUGACAGCAUCAGGCUGCACUCGGUUACCGUCGUGAAUCAUGGACCAAGACUGCACUCUUAGGCCCACUCCUUUUUGGUGGAUCGGGUCUUGCCAUCUUCCCCUUUCGUGGCUUCCUGUCGUAAUUAAAUAAAUUCUCAUAUUUUUUUCUGACGGUGGUGCGUACCUCUUGCCACACUUGGCAAAAAUAGUGUGGUGAAUCCAUGCCACGGAUUACUGUGAAACAUGCGAGAAGGUAAUUAUUGAGAAGAUUAAGCUCCGAAAAGUUCGAUGGAAAGACAAUAGAUAUACCCCGUUUAAUAUUUCUGACUACUUUAAGCAUGCUAUCUCCGGAGUAUUUCAGCCUAUAAUUGCAUCUCCUUUUGACCAUUCACACGCUCACGGAAAGGCAAUCGGCAUGGGCUUUCAAAUCUGCGUUCUGCAGAUUUGAAACAUUACCAAGUGUAUUUCGGCACAACUAAAUGUUCAAACUUAAGGCCAUUUUGUUGCCAUAAUUAUAAGUUUCUGCUAAGGUGAAUAUGUGUUCCUUACAUUAAUUAAAACGAAAAAAAAAAAAAAAAACUGAUUACAU